Molecule: long non-coding RNA, 663 nt
Organism: Arabidopsis lyrata subsp. lyrata
Lineage: Eukaryota; Viridiplantae; Streptophyta; Magnoliopsida; Brassicales; Brassicaceae
Exons: 2
Source: RefSeq, a predicted model, not a curated record
UUGGCCCAGCCUUCUUUAGUAAACAACUCAAACAGGUUACGCGACAAAACAUGAAAAUGUAAUCGGAUCUUGUCCUGAUACCAAUAUAAAAUCCAACUCACUCAUUAUUCAGAAACCUAAACCUAGGCGUGACGUCAAAAAAAAAGAGAGAAGAUAAAUAAAGUUAAGCGCCGCCAAGCUCUGCAACUACGAUCUGUAACCUUACAAAAGAUCGAGAAAAGAGCCUCUUUUGGUGAAACACAACAGUUGUGUUGGAUUCAGAGGUCCGAAUCUGCUGCUACACUGAUGGGUUUUCAGAUUCUGCUGUUAGAUUGAUUCACCAUCUUGUCAAACUGAAAGGAUAUGCAAAAAGAGUAAUGGUAAAUGGUUGUGUGAUGAAGAAAUUACAAGAGAAAUGUUUGAGGAUAUUCAUCAUUGUGAUUUUGGAAGACUUGAAGCAAAUACAUUGAAGGAAGAUGGGGGAUUUAAAGAUGGUAUAUAUAAGAUCAUUUAUACAUCACUUCUUCGCUUGUAAUUUUCUUUGAUCAUUGUACCUUUUAGCCGAGUCUUCUGUUGUUUGUAGUUUCAUUAUUAAUAGUAAAAGUUAUUUUGUUCAUUAUUUAUACCUUUCACUGUCAAAUCAAAUAAUCAGUUUCGUUGCUAUCUACUUCUGAUAUUCUUGCA